UUGCCAGCGCCGGCCGAUCGGGCCUCAGGGGAGGGACGAGGCUGAGAGAGGGGACCCUCCAACUCCGGCCCUUCCAGGGGCGCCGGGGGACCGAAGAGAGAUUUGGGAAGGAGGGCUCUCUGGCGAGCUGGGAGGCUGUGACCUGGCCACAGGCGGCGGUCGCGGCGCGGAGGGCGCCCGAGGGUGUCCCAGGGGCCCCGGGAAGCGUUCUGGGAUCCCGCCUCUCUGCACCGUUGCAUCUCAAAGCGGGAGGACUCAGUUCCGCGCCUAUGCCCAAGUGGAGGCAACUCGCCAUGCAGGGAUCUGCCUUCCUGUGGAAUGAUCUCCAAUGAUCUUCAAGUAUCUCCUGCAGACCCAGUUCUCUUGCUAAAUAAGUCACUGGAAGAUAAUUCCUGGACACACCUUGGACAGCUCCCCACAUUUCUCUAUUUGGAGCUUUGGGGUGGUAGGAAAUUGAUGCCCUCAGAAAGGACACCCCCAACCAGCAAGAAACCAGAGUUGGUGGAAAACAACAUUUCUUCACUCUCGAUGGGACAACCUGAAGGCAUGUUCUAGUCAAUACUGCUUCUCACAGGUCCCCAACAAGGGUUAGAGACAGAGUCUCGCUCUGUUGUUCAGGCUGGAGUGCAGUGGCGCCAUCAUGGCUCACUGCAGCCUUGAACUCCUGGGCUCAAGCAAUUCUCCCACCCGAGUAGCUGGACUAUAGGUUCUCACCAACACGCCCAGCUCUUUAUCGCUCUUUGACUUUCUGUUUCAUUUCUCUAUUCCCUCAUUAUGCUUCCUGGGAUCAUUUCACAGAUAAGCUACUUGCUCCCAAAUCCUUGUCUCAGGGGCAGUCAACAGAGACAGUGGCAGAGGACCAUGGGAGAGCUAGAAUUUCAGGUCUCCAGACUCCUAGUCCAGUGCUCUUUCCAGGGUUUCUCAACCUUGGCACUAUUAACAUUUUGGACUGGAUAAUGCAUUGCUAGGGAGGGUUGACCUAUGCACUGUAGGAUGUUUAGUAGCAUCCCUGACCUUUGUCCACUAAAUGCCACUAGCACCCUCCAGUUGGGAACAGUCAAAACUGUUUUCUGCUUUAUCAGAAGUUCCCCGGGGCAAAACACUGUGGUUGCAAACCACUAUUCCACAUCAGGCCAU
Molecule: long non-coding RNA, 1137 nt
Organism: Pan troglodytes (chimpanzee)
Lineage: Eukaryota; Metazoa; Chordata; Mammalia; Primates; Hominidae
Exons: 3
Source: RefSeq, a predicted model, not a curated record